RNAcentral lists this unclassified non-coding RNA (253 nucleotides) under uncultured Cladophialophora. RNAcentral's name for it is "sequence contains ITS2". The record is from RNAcentral. Lineage: Eukaryota; Fungi; Ascomycota; Eurotiomycetes; Chaetothyriales; Herpotrichiellaceae.
AACGCACAUUGCGCCCUUUAGUAUUCUGAAGGGCAUGCCUGUUCGAGCGUCAUUAUCACUAAUCAAGCUAGGCUUGUUAUUGGACCUCUUGUCGUUAAAAGACGGGCCCCAAAGAUAAUGACGGCGUCAAUUGGACCCUAGAUGCAACGAGCUUUCAUUAGCACGCAGUUUAGUGAAGCCUUUUGACCCGGUCGUUUUAUAACCAAUUUCUAAGGUUGACCUCGGAUCAGGUAGGAAUACCCGCUGAACUUAA